CCCCAAGCCUCCAAUUUGUGCUUCUGCGUCACUGGGGGGGCUCCCAGCAUGGCCUCAGCCCCGGUAGGGAAGUGUCCACAGGCAGCCUCUGCUGCAGGCAACAGCUGGCCGCAGGACUCCUCCUCCAUCCCAGCCUUUCUGGAAGCUUCUUCUCCUGCCCUUUGUGAGAGGCCUUCAGGCCAGAUCAUCGGCCAUCUUGGGGGAUGAAGCCAUGCUGGGGGCGAUUCUUAGGCUUCCACUUCCUCCAAAAUGACCACAGGUAACUGCAUUUUAGUCUGUUUAAGGACCCCCACCCCCACCCUCACCCCUGCCCCUUGUGUGUGGCUGGUCUGUUUUCCCGCCUGUUUUGGACAACAAUCACUCGGGCAUCUAAGCCCAUGGUGGAAUGGUGGGGAGGGGGCCACUCUGGGGGCCGUGGGGGGUCUCAGAGAGCACCCUGCCCAUCCCCCUGGCAGCCGCUGUCUCCGUGGACAAUGAGCACCGGGAAGUAGAGGGCGUCCUCAUAGCAGGGCGGGCUCUCCAGGGGUUCCGUGUCCUCUCCACGGCGCCCCAGCGGCCCCCCGCUCAGGCUGCGGAAGACCCCUGGCGUGGCCCGGCCGCCAGCGCCCAGCGAGAGGCGGCUGCGGCUGAAGGGCAGGCGGGGCCCGCUGGGCCGGGCGGGGGGCAGCGAGUUGCUGCUGACAGAGCGGCGGCAGCGCUGGCAGCCUCUGAGGUAGGCGCCCGAGCCCGCGCCCAUGACCACGGCCUCCGAGUAGCUGGGCACCAGCUGCCGGUUGGAGCAGAUGUGCCACUCGAGCUCAGUGAAGUCCACUGUGGCCACGCGGGACAGCGGGGGCCCGCUGGGCACGGCCCCCGGCGGGGGCGAGCUGGCGCCAAAGAGCUUCUCCACCUGGUAGUGCACGUGAGCCGUGCCAUAGGCGGCCACGACGCGCAGGGGCCACGACAGCGUGGCCGCCGACACGAGCCAGAAGACCCAGGCGCGCGCGUACCAGGGCGGGCUGCGGGGGUCGGCGAAGACCAUGAGCGACUCGCGGAAGUCUACGUCCUUCAGGUGCAUGCCCUCGCGCGCCUCCAGAUAGUCGUCCAGGCCCUCGUUGGCGCUGAAGAAGCGCGCCCGCUGCGUGAGGUACGAGGCCUCGGCCUCCGCGCUGCCGAAGCUGAAGCACUUGGUGAAGCGCAGCCGCGUGGCCGCGUGCUCCGCCAGCCCCACCAGCUCCUUGGAGACGUCGCGGACGCCGUGCGCCGAGUAGUCAAACUCGCCGCGGGCCGUGCGGCUGUCAGCGCGCUCAUGGUACACCUGCGUGGUGGUGUAGGCGUCGCCGUUGCGGUAGCGCGUGAUCUGGCGUGUGCGCCGCACGUAGUGAUAGCUGGUGGCCUUCCACCAGACGCACGGCGGCGCCUGCUGCAGCCGGCGGAUCAGCGCCAGCACCGUGUGGGCGUCGGUGCGUGGCGCCUGGCAGGACCGCACGUGACAGUGCCAGCACUCAGCCAGGUAGAGGAGGUAGAGGAGGGAGACGAAGGCCAGCGGGAUGUACAGGUAGCCAUCGGAGCAGGGGCUGGCCGGGUAGGUCGGUGGCGGG
This 1580-nucleotide long non-coding RNA is filed under the name Homo sapiens (human). RNAcentral describes it as "non-protein coding lnc-YIF1A-7:1". The record is from RNAcentral. Lineage: Eukaryota; Metazoa; Chordata; Mammalia; Primates; Hominidae.